Long non-coding RNA from Melospiza melodia melodia, 484 nucleotides. RefSeq lists it as uncharacterized. The transcript has 3 exons. The record is from RefSeq and is a predicted model, not a curated record. Lineage: Eukaryota; Metazoa; Chordata; Aves; Passeriformes; Passerellidae.
GCCAUCGCCGCCGACCGACCUCGCUCCGCUCCCGGCUCCGCAGAACCCUCCCGAACCCCGGCAGGGCAGCUCGGAGCGCUCCGGGCAGCGAAGGGCAGAGCUGCUGCUCCCGCCGAGGUUUCAGCAAACCAAAAACCCAUCCUGUCACCAUCCAGGGACAGUCAGCGGAGGCAUGGCAGAGCCAACAGGGCAGGAUUUACAGAGCCUUCCACCCAGGGAGAGGAAACGGAGCCUGAUUCAGCCGGGAAGAAUGCACAGGAGAUACCUGCGGUGGAAAAGUAUCCAACACCCAGAUACUUAAUGAGGGAGACACCUGAGAUGUGGUGAUGCAAAAGGAGAGCAGGGCAGAUGCUCGGCAGAGCGUCACAGAGCAAAAAACCUGCUGCAAAAUUACCUUGGUAUUCCAGGAUUGGGCUUUUCCUUCACUUUUCUGGGAAAAAGCAGUGCAAAAAAAACAGGUUUUGAAUAUACUUGCUGUUUGCAA